GACGAACGCUGGCGGCGUGCUUAACACAUGCAAGUCGUACGGUAAGGCCCUUUCGGGGGUACACGAGUGGCGAACGGGUGAGUAACACGUGAGUAACCUGCCCACAACUUUGGGAUAACGCUAGGAAACUGGUGCUAAUACUGGAUAUGUGCUCCUGCUGCAUGGUGGGGGUUGGAAAGCUCCGGCGGUUGUGGAUGGACUCGCGGCCUAUCAGCUUGUUGGUGGGGUAGUGGCCUACCAAGGCGGCGACGGGUAGCCGGCCUGAGAGGGUGACCGGCCGCAUUGGGACUGAGAUACGGCCCAGACUCCUACGGGAGGCAGCAGUGGGGAAUAUUGCACAAUGGGCGCAAGCCUGAUGCAGCAACGCCGCGUGCGGGAUGACGGCCUUCGGGUUGUAAACCGCUUUCAGCAGGGACGAAGCUUUUUGUGACGGUACCUGCAGAAGAAGCACCGGCUAACUACGUG
This 465-nucleotide ribosomal RNA is filed under the name uncultured bacterium. RNAcentral describes it as "partial 16S ribosomal RNA". It matches the Rfam family "Bacterial small subunit ribosomal RNA", at positions 28 to 507 of the family's 1533-position model. The record is from RNAcentral.